This 2470-nucleotide long non-coding RNA is filed under the name Gallus gallus (chicken). The record is from RNAcentral. Lineage: Eukaryota; Metazoa; Chordata; Aves; Galliformes; Phasianidae.
GGGGGGGCGCCGCCGCUGCGAAGAGGGAGAUCCCGCUGCAGCGGAGAGCGGGACGGCAACAGCGGGCUCUGAGCCUCGGCGCGCGGCCCGGCCGGCAGCGGGGCACAGCGGCUGCGGGGAGGCGGCCGGGCGAGCCCGGCAGGCCGCCCUCGUGAACAGCCGGCGCCCGGAGGAGCAGCUCCUCCGACACCGACGUGCGCUCGCCGGCUACAAAACUACUUCUGCCCUCGUUGCACUCCGCGGGGAGACCUACCUCCGCCGUUUCCAUUUGCCUCCGCGUCACAGCAGCGCCGUACACAAACAGAAGCGCCAGCGGCCGGGCUGGCACCAGGGACAGACCUUGCCCUGCCAAGGAGGCGGGCCUGCCGUCACACUUGUGACCCGUGCCCAGGGACAACAGGUGGCGGCUCUCCCCGCCGUGAGGCGCGGCCCGGCCCAGCCUGAGGGAGGCGUGCGGCGCCGCGGGGGGCUGGGCCUUGGGCACACCUGCCUGGCUGGUAAAAACCGAUCGUACUGGGGCUGCCGUUAAUCGUUGUGAAGAGGCUGCUGUCGCUGCAAGGAGUUCUGGAGAAAAGACCUCUACGAUCAGCUAGACCAGCCACCAACCCAUCACCACCUACUAACCGUGUUCCUCAGUGCCACAUCUACGCUUGAACACCUCCAGGGAUGGUGACUCCACCACCUCCCUGGGCAGCCCAUUCCAGUGCCUGCCUGACCAUUUUUUCGGGUAAAAGUCAGACACUCUUCUGCAGAACUGAAGCAACAAAUUGAAACUAUUCUAAGAACAAAGAAAUCCAGUCAAGUAAAGAAGCAUAAAUUUGAAGAAGCUUACAUUCCCUGCAAAGUCACGUUUCAGCUUACCGUUCACAAACAAUCCAGGUAAAAUCUGCUCUGACAAGGACUCUGAGUAGAACACCAUGGAAAACAACACAUUCCUGGAGACUUCCAGUUUGUCUCUCCAUCAAGACUGAAGAAAAUGGAGACACAAAUGAUACAGAGUCAGUGCAUGUAGUAUAAAAGCACUGUAAAAAAAUAUGUCUGUAUAUAUGUUCUAAAUUCCUAUUUAAAUCUAGGGUGCACCACUUCACGCAAGCACUACAUGUGGUUUAUUGCCCACUCAUAUAAAGCAUCUCAACUUUAUUAGUUUUUGCCCUUCUUGGUCGCUCAUUUUCCUUGAGUGAAGUGAGACCAGGGUAUUUGUUUUUUCAUCUCUACUCAUCCCUAUGGGGAAAGGAAAUAAAACAUCCUAGUGAUUUUCUACUCACAUUCUAUCUGCACUUAAUUCCCAGAACUCCAAAACUAUUGCACCAAAUGCAGUCUUUAAAUAUUUAUGGAAUAUUGAAAAAUAUAUUCAGUUUCCACUAUUUGAAAUAGUAGACUUGGAAGAGAAGAAGGAAAUUGCAGUCAUGCUCUCAGUCUUAUCCAUAACUCUGAAAUCAUUUCAGUCUAAAAGAAUACACAGUUCUAUCUACUGCUGUAAAAACAUUUCUGUGUGGGAGGCUAGAACUUUGAACUGCAACUAAAUUACUAAAACUGUUUUUUAAGACAAGGGUCUUUCUGCAGUACUGUGCUAGUAGCAUACUAUUACGUUAUCCUACUACUCGAGUAGAAGAUUGGUUGGAAUAUCUAGCUUUUAGAAAACUUCAUUCUUAGAAAUGUAUUAGAUACCAACAUUUUUAUACAUAGGUUGCACUGAGCUGCUUAGGCUUAGCAAAAUCAUUUCCAGCACAGUUUAGUAGUGGCAGUUGUUUCUUGAAGGAGCACUGAACUAUCAAACACAUCACCUGCUUUGUAACAGCAACAAAAUACCUGUAUUCUCACCUUGUCAAGGAUAUAUUGCUGCCUAAACCCUCUCAAUAAACCUACAAAAUGUAUUACUCAACACUGGAUUGCUCAAGCUUAAAAAGACAAACCUUCAAAGUACUUCAUGUUAUAUAUGUCAACAGCAACAAGAAAAAAAAAAACCAAGAAAAUUAAAAUAGCUUCUGCUAACUUCUCAUUUCAGAUCGCCUUUAGAAACAUGCAAGGCAGUAACAUGUACUCAGCAACUCAUUAUAAAAACGUGUUCCUGUUUGUAAACUGCUGCUUAACACCUUAAGAUAUAGGAACAUUUUGCCUCAAAAAAACCAAACAAAAAACCAACCACCACCACCAAAAAAAAACACCAAAAAACCCCCGCACCUAAAACCCAGCACUAAUCACUUUCCUCUGAAGGUAAUGUGGAAGAUUUCUAAGCGAUAAAAAGGAAUCUUAUUGGUAGAGCAGCAGAGUAUAUGGGAUAUCUCAGUAAUGAAUGGAUGAAGAGUCUGAGUAACAUGUUGAACUCAUUGAGAAAAGAAACCUGAGGACUCUCCCCAGUGUUUAAAUCUGUCCUGGAGGAAAUCCCAACGUCAUCCCUUGCUAGACAUGUUUCUGUAAGCAAUGAAUAUCAGUACUUCGGAACUCUCUCACUACUACGAGUCCAAAAAUU